Molecule: ribosomal RNA, 526 nt
Filed under: uncultured bacterium
Lineage: Bacteria
Description: bacterial SSU rRNA
Rfam family: Bacterial small subunit ribosomal RNA
Source: RNAcentral
UUAUUGGGCGUAAAGAGCUUGUAGGCGGUUUGUCGCGUCUGCUGUGAAAGGCCGGAGCUUAACUCCGUGUAUUGCAGUGGGUACGGGCAGACUAGAGUGCAGUAGGGGAGACUGGAAUUCCUGGUGUAGCGGUGGAAUGCGCAGAUAUCAGGAGGAACACCGAUGGCGAAGGCAGGUCUCUGGGCUGUAACUGACGCUGAGAAGCGAAAGCAUGGGGAGCGAACAGGAUUAGAUACCCUGGUAGUCCAUGCCGUAAACGUUGGGCACUAGGUGUGGGGGGCAUUCCACGUUUUCCGCGCCGUAGCUAACGCAUUAAGUGCCCCGCCUGGGGAGUACGGCCGCAAGGCUAAAACUCAAAGAAAUUGACGGGGGCCCGCACAAGCGGCGGAGCAUGCGGAUUAAUUCGAUGCAACGCGAAGAACCUUACCAAGGCUUGACAUAUACUGGACCGCAUCAGAGAUGGUGUUUCCCUUCGGGGCUGGUAUACAGGUGGUGCAUGGUUGUCGUCAGCUCGUGUCGUGAGAAG